This 261-nucleotide ribosomal RNA is filed under the name uncultured archaeon. RNAcentral describes it as "partial 16S ribosomal RNA". It matches the Rfam family "Archaeal small subunit ribosomal RNA", at positions 748 to 1009 of the family's 1478-position model. The record is from RNAcentral.
UAGCCGUAAACGAUACUCGCUAGGUGUCGGCCACGGUGCGACCGUUGUCGGUGCCGUAGGGAAGCCGUGAAGCGAGCCACCUGGGAAGUACGGCCGCAAGGCUGAAACUUAAAGGAAUUGGCGGGGGAGCACCACAACGGGUGGAGCUUGCGGUUUAAUUGGAUUCAACGCCGGAAAUCUUACCGGGACCGACAGCAACAUGAAGGCCAAGCUGAAGACUUUGCCGGAUUAGCUGAGAGGAGGUGCAUGGCGUAGACGUCU